This 126-nucleotide non-coding RNA is filed under the name Tiarina fusus. The record is from RNAcentral. Lineage: Eukaryota; Ciliophora; Prostomatea; Prorodontida; Colepidae.
AAGAUGAUACAAAAGAUAGAAAUUUUGCAGAAAAUGUGGAAUAUUGGUUUGCAUCAGCCGAGUUCACCACAUUCCUUUUAUUUUGUUUUUUUUCGAGUUCUGCUUGGUGCUUUGUACGAUUUUCUU